RNAcentral lists this ribosomal RNA (253 nucleotides) under uncultured bacterium. Its description in RNAcentral is "partial 16S ribosomal RNA". It matches the Rfam family "Bacterial small subunit ribosomal RNA", at positions 524 to 776 of the family's 1533-position model. The record is from RNAcentral.
UACGUAGGGUGCGAGCGUUAAUCGGAAUUACUGGGCGUAAAGCGUGCGCAGGCGGUUUUGUAAGUCAGAUGUGAAAUCCCCGGGCUUAACCUGGGAACUGCGUUUGAAACUACAAGGCUAGAGUGUGGCAGAGGGGGGUGGAAUUCCACGUGUAGCAGUGAAAUGCGUAGAGAUGUGGAGGAACACCGAUGGCGAAGGCAGCCCCCUGGGUCAACACUGACGCUCAGGCACGAAAGCGUGGGGAGCAAACAGG